RNAcentral lists this long non-coding RNA (2914 nucleotides) under Callithrix jacchus (white-tufted-ear marmoset). RNAcentral describes it as "lncRNA (ENSCJAG00000080757.1)". Lineage: Eukaryota; Metazoa; Chordata; Mammalia; Primates; Cebidae. The record is from RNAcentral.
AACUUUAUCCACCACCCCUCCACUCCAGCCUUGCUGACCUUACUGUUUCUUACUGUUCUUUCACAGAAGCCAAACAUUUCCCUAUUUAGUGCCUUUCCAUUGGCUGUCCCAUCUGCCUGGACUGGUCUUCCUGCAGGUGUAUCGAUCCAUUGCUUGAUAGUUGUGGAAUUUGCUGAGACCACCCACUUGAAUACCUGUUCAAAUGAAUGGAAUCUCACAGAGCAAACAAAAUCAUCUCUGACUUGUAGCCGUAGGGAUACAUUAGUACCUGUACCUCAUACUCAAUGGAAAAUCACCAGUUGUCUGGUGGAUAGUUUAGCACAUGUCAAAUCUGAGGUCCAGUGUAAUAGAAGAUCUCCUACCCAUCACUACUCCCUCUUUCCUCCUCAAUGUAACUCCUAUCUCCUGUCCUCUAACACAGGAGUUUAGUUGUGUCUCCUUUCCAACUUUAUAUAAAUAAAAUCAUUCUGUAUGAAUCUUGCAUCUGGUUUUUCUUGCUGCAUAUUAUGUUCGUGAAAUUCAUUCAUGUUACUGAAUUAAAAACUGUGGUUCAUUCAGUAUGACUGCUGCAUAGUAUUCCACUGUAUCAAUUUAUCACAAUAUAUUAUUUCUAGUUUUUCAUUUUUAUAAAUCAUGCUGCUCUGGACAUUUUUGGAAAUAUUUUUUGGCUUCCAUGACCCGUUUUCUGUAGAGUACAUACUUUGGAGAGCAAUAUCUGGGUCAUGGGUAUGUACAUGAUCAACUUUAGUAGAUAAUGUAAGCAGUUUCCCUAAAUCAUUGUCCCAGUUUGACUCCCACUAGCAAUAUAAGAGACAUCCCCUACAUACAUAUCCAUGUCACACUUGGGAUUCUCUCUUUUUUCUAUUUUAGUUAUUCUCCUUGUUAAGUAGUAGUAUCUCACUGAGGUUUUAAUUUGCAUCUUUUCUGACUACAAAUAAGAUUGAGAAUAUGCAGAUAUUCUGAGAGAUCCCCCAGCCAAUGAGAGAUUCCAAACGGAAUAGAGAGUGCUGAGAAGACAAAAGCACAUGUAGUCUGAUAAGGGCAUGGUCUGAUAUGGGAGAAAUUUCGGUGGAUAGCGGAGGAAGCAGAUGGUGAGUAUCAGUUGCAGCCCUGGGACUGGUGCGGGGUGUGUAGUUCUUCCUAUUAACUUCCCCUUUUGUAGAUUUCCCUGGGAAGAGAUGCCUCCUGGUACAGUGGAGGAACUGCUCCUUGAAUGUAUAUGAGGAAGUGGAUUCAAGUUGCACUAGGGCUAGAUUGUGGUAGAAACACAGAUGUGCAUCCCGGAAGGAUAAGUUGUCCCAGUUGCCUGUAGUGCUACCGGUAGAUAGCCUCUAAGGCUCAGCUCCUUCAGGGAUUGUUUUAGCUGCAGAGGUGCAACUUAAACACGUGGCCUUAAGGUGGUUCUUAACAGGUGGCCACCCCCAACCCCCUAGAGGUUGGCAUGCAGUAACUGAUGCACAUGUUCACUCUAAGUGAGGCAACGCCCACAGGCACCUUCAGCUCCGGGGCUUCCUGUGCAGUCAGCUAAGGAAGUCAAGUCUGCAUCACAAUCUGACUUCUCCCUCUGCCCAAUCCUUUUCCCUUCUUUUUCACAGCUCUUAGUCUCAAGGGGUGCCCUAGGAACAUACUAAUAACUAAACAUUGUCUCAGGUCUGAGGCAAUGUUGGACAACCAAACCCAUGGCAGUGCUCUGUAAGACUACGGAGAUUUUUGUGGAGUUAAAACUAAUAGAGAGUAUGAAAACCUUGGUGGUUUUUUUUUUUUUUUUUGCAGAUGCAGUAUUCUGAGAAAGGGAUUAACAUGAUUAAAAAUGGUGGCCAAGAAAUAUGAUUCUUGUUGUUGCAUUGGAAGGCCUGGAAUUGUAAGAGGCUAAAAUAUAAAACAGACUGGGAAUUUGUUUCUGGAGUCUAAGAAUAAAAUCCACAGGCUAAAAGAGGGUUGCAGUUGGAAGGAAAAAAUAUAUAAUUGCUAUUUUUCAAAAGGAAUUGGAAAGAUUUGGUGUCAACCUGGAUGUGAGGAUGAAGACAAGCCAGCUAGAAUAAAUAUUGAUUCCAAGAUUGAGGGCAGAGCUUUCUGGGAGGGACACUGAUGGGAACGGAAAAAAUGGAAAAAGACUUAGUGAAGAAGAUAAUAUCCUCAAGUUUUGACAUCUCUAAUUUAAAAUGUCAACAAGCUAUUUACAAGGAAGUUUCUUUGUGUUGGGAGUCACCUUAGCUGUCCAGCCAUAUUAAGGGGCUGCAGUACAGUCAUGGAGGCUAUAACCUGCACUGUGGUACCAUGCCCAGGGUAAAGGGAGGCUGAGCUCUGGCCAGUGUGGGGCUGCACGUGCCAGGUAGAAAGGAUGCCUUUUCUGACUGGCACAAAGGUGUUGUGUGAGCUAGUAGGGGGCCUGGCCAUUAUCUCAAAAUCGGCAAAAGAGGCAGUUGAUUCCGGAUGAAAUGCACAAAUUUGGUUUAUUAGAGAUGGGAAGUUAAUGAAGGAGGAAAGGCUUUACUAAGUUAGAUUUCUUUAGGGUCAGAGACUAUGCAAGUCACGUAGACCUUCUGAAUCUCAUUUUUCUUAUUUGUGUGGCAGGAUACUUUCCUAUUCUCACCCCCUCACAGCUUCCUCAUACCAAGAUAUGAUAACUGAAUAAGAUAUUUGCAAGGCAGAGAAAAGAGGUGGAGAUGCUUAGCCUAAGGAAUGUGCUAGACUUAUGCAAAGAAGGGAUUCUGUGCUUACCUAACAGAUAAUUUACCCUGUAACUGGACUAGGCAGGUCACCAUUUUCUUCAUUCUCUCCUUGUAUAUGCGGGAUCUAAUCAUCUGGACGUAUCCACAGAGAGAGGAGCCAGAUGAAAUGCAGAAAGCAUGGUCGCCUUAAAGAGGAAGAAGUAAGACUGGAGUUUCAAGCUGAGGCAUGAAAGGUACCGAUU